GACGAACGCUGGCGGCGUGCUUAACACAUGCAAGUCGAACGGAAAGGCCCUGCUUUUGUGGGGUGCUCGAGUGGCGAACGGGUGAGUAACACGUGAGUAACCUGCCCUUGACUUUGGGAUAACUUCAGGAAACUGGGGCUAAUACCGGAUAGGAGCUCCUGCUGCAUGGUGGGGGUUGGAAAGUUUCGGCGGUUGGGGAUGGACUCGCGGCUUAUCAGCUUGUUGGUGGGGUAGUGGCUUACCAAGGCUUUGACGGGUAGCCGGCCUGAGAGGGUGACCGGCCACAUUGGGACUGAGAUACGGCCCAGACGCCUACGGGAGGCAGCAGUGGGGAAUAUUGCACAAUGGGCGGAAGCCUGAUGCCGCAACGCCGCGGGCGGGAUGACGGCCUUCGGGUUGUAACCCGCUUUCGCCUGUGACGAAGCGUGAGUGACGGUAAUGGGUAAAGAAGCACCGGCUAACUACGUG
RNAcentral lists this ribosomal RNA (468 nucleotides) under uncultured bacterium. RNAcentral's name for it is "partial 16S ribosomal RNA". It matches the Rfam family "Bacterial small subunit ribosomal RNA", at positions 28 to 507 of the family's 1533-position model. The record is from RNAcentral.